This 261-nucleotide ribosomal RNA is filed under the name uncultured prokaryote. RNAcentral describes it as "partial 16S ribosomal RNA". It matches the Rfam family "Bacterial small subunit ribosomal RNA", at positions 524 to 784 of the family's 1533-position model. The record is from RNAcentral.
UACGGAGGAUGCGAGCGUUAUCCGGAUUUAUUGGGUUUAAAGGGUGCGUAGGCGGCUUUUUAAGUCAGCGGUGAAAUUUUGCAGCUUAACUGUAACAGUGCCGUUGAUACUGGGGAGCUAGGAUUUGGUUGCUGUGGGUGGAAUGUGUAGUGUAGCGGUGAAAUGCAUAGAUAUUACACAGAACACCGAUUGCGAAGGCAGCUUACUAAUCCAUCAUUGACGCUGAGGCACGAAAGCGUGGGGAUCAAACAGGAUUAGAUA